GUCCCCGUGACUCAAUUGGACAGAGUGCUGGUCUUCGAAACCAGACAUGCGCGUUCGAGUCGCGCCGGGGGCA
Molecule: transfer RNA, 73 nt
Filed under: Chloroflexota bacterium
Lineage: Bacteria; Bacillati; Chloroflexota
Description: Chloroflexi bacterium (freshwater metagenome) tRNA-Arg
Rfam family: tRNA
About the family: Transfer RNA (tRNA) molecules are approximately 80 nucleotides in length. Their secondary structure includes four short double-helical elements and three loops (D, anti-codon, and T loops). Further hydrogen bonds mediate the characteristic L-shaped molecular structure. tRNAs have two regions of fundamental functional importance: the anti-codon, which is responsible for specific mRNA codon recognition, and the 3' end, to which the tRNAs corresponding amino acid is attached (by aminoacyl-tRNA synthetases). tRNAs cope with the degeneracy of the genetic code in two manners: having more than one tRNA (with a specific anti-codon) for a particular amino acid; and 'wobble' base-pairing, i.e. permitting non-standard base-pairing at the 3rd anti-codon position.
Source: RNAcentral